CCGCACAGCCGGGGAGUCAGCGGUGCCCUGUACCUGCAAGCCGCUAGAGCAGGGGUGAUGUUCUGCCCCGGGUGUUUCACUGUGAAGCUGCCCCUGGUAAGAGGCGUUGACGUUUUGGUCUUACGCAAUGGGAAUCUCUGAACCGUGUCAGGGCAGGAAUGCAGCAGCACUAAGGGGAACCUCUCAUGUGCCGUGAGGGAGCCGGAACUGAGCAGGCUGCCAGGGUAACGUUUAUGGUGGGCAUUCAAAGCAGAACGUGCGG
Non-coding RNA from Clostridium sp. CAG:58, 262 nucleotides. NCBI's taxonomy places the organism in Bacteria, Bacillati, Bacillota, Clostridia, Eubacteriales, Clostridiaceae. The record is from Rfam.